RNAcentral lists this ribosomal RNA (459 nucleotides) under uncultured bacterium. Its description in RNAcentral is "partial 16S ribosomal RNA". It matches the Rfam family "Bacterial small subunit ribosomal RNA", at positions 339 to 795 of the family's 1533-position model. The record is from RNAcentral.
CUACGGGGGGCAGCAGUGAGGAAUAUUGGGCAAUGGAGGCAACUCUGACCCAGCCAUGCCGCGUGCAGGAAGACGGCCCUCUGGGUUGUAAACUGCUUUUGUUUGGGAAUAAACCCUUCUACGUGUAGAAGGCUGAAGGUACCUUACGAAUAAGGAUCGGCUAACUCCGUGCCAGCAGCCGCGGUAAUACGGAGGAUCCAAGCGUUAUCCGGAUUUAUUGGGUUUAAAGGGUCCGUAGGCGGAUCUUUAAGUCAGUGGUGAAAGCCCACAGCUCAACUGUGGAACUGCCAUUGAUACUGGAGAUCUUGAGUGUAGUAGAAGUAGGCGGAAUAGGGCAUGUAGCGGUGAAAUGCAUAGAUAUGCCCUAGAACACCGAUUGCGAAGGCAGCUUACUAUGUUACAACUGACGCUGAGGGACGAAAGCGUGGGGAGCAAACAGGAUUAGAUACCCCCGUAGUC